This 251-nucleotide ribosomal RNA is filed under the name uncultured bacterium. Its description in RNAcentral is "partial 16S ribosomal RNA". It matches the Rfam family "Bacterial small subunit ribosomal RNA", at positions 526 to 776 of the family's 1533-position model. The record is from RNAcentral.
CGUAGGGCGCAAGCGUUAUCCGGAAUUAUUGGGCGUAAAGCGCUCGUAGGCGGUUUGUCGCGUCUGCCGUGAAAGUCCGGGGCUCAACUCCGGAUCUGCGGUGGGUACGGGCAUACUAGAGUGAUGUAGGGGAGACUGGAAUUCCUGGUGUAGCGGUGAAAUGCGCAGAUAUCAGGAGGAACACCGAUGGCGAAGGCAGGUCUCUGGGCAUUAACUGACGCUGAGGAGCGAAAGCAUGGGGAGCGAACAGG